Molecule: small RNA, 24 nt
Filed under: Arabidopsis thaliana (thale cress)
Lineage: Eukaryota; Viridiplantae; Streptophyta; Magnoliopsida; Brassicales; Brassicaceae
Description: ATSL255250
Source: RNAcentral
AAGGGAUGGCGAAGAGAAUAUCCU